GACGAACGCUGGCGGCGUGUUUAACACAUGCAAGUCGAACGGAAAGGCCCUGCUUUUGUGGGGUGCUCGAGUGGCGAACGGGUGAGUAACACGUGAGUAACCUGCCCUUGACUUUGGGAUAACUUCAGGAAACUGGGGCUAAUACCGGAUAGGAGCUCCUGCUGCAUGGUGGGGGUUGGAAAGUUUCGGCGGUUGGGGAUGGACUCGCGGCUUAUCAGCUUGUUGGUGGGGUAGUGGCUUACCAAGGCUUUGACGGGUAGCCGGCCUGAGAGGGUGACCGGGCACAUUGGGACUGAGAUACGGCCCAGACUCCUACGGGAGGCAGCAGUGGGGAAUAUUGCACAAUGGGCGGAAGCCUGAUGCAGCAACGCCGCGUGCGGGAUGACGGCCUUCGGGUUGUAAACCGCUUUCGCCUGUGACGAAGCGUGAGUGACGGUAAUGGGUAAAGAAGCACCGGCUAACUACGUG
Molecule: ribosomal RNA, 468 nt
Filed under: uncultured bacterium
Lineage: Bacteria
Description: partial 16S ribosomal RNA
Rfam family: Bacterial small subunit ribosomal RNA
Source: RNAcentral